This 72-nucleotide transfer RNA is filed under the name Ictidomys tridecemlineatus (thirteen-lined ground squirrel). Its description in RNAcentral is "Spermophilus tridecemlineatus (thirteen-lined ground squirrel) tRNA". It matches the Rfam family "tRNA". Rfam says of the family: Transfer RNA (tRNA) molecules are approximately 80 nucleotides in length. Their secondary structure includes four short double-helical elements and three loops (D, anti-codon, and T loops). Lineage: Eukaryota; Metazoa; Chordata; Mammalia; Rodentia; Sciuridae. The record is from Rfam by way of RNAcentral.
GGGGUUGUGGCUCAGUGGUAGAGCACUUGCCUGGCAUGUGAGAGGUCCUAGGAUCAAUCCUCAACAACACCU